Molecule: ribosomal RNA, 616 nt
Filed under: uncultured Oscillatoriaceae bacterium
Lineage: Bacteria; Bacillati; Cyanobacteriota; Cyanophyceae; Oscillatoriales; Oscillatoriaceae
Description: bacterial SSU rRNA
Rfam family: Bacterial small subunit ribosomal RNA
Source: RNAcentral
GAAUCUGCCUCUAGGACGGGGACAACAGAGGGAAACUUCUGCUAAUCCCGGAUGAGCCGCAAGGUGAAAGAUUAAUCGCCCAGAGAUGAGCUCGCGUCUGAUUAGCUAGUUGGUGAGGUAAAGGCUUACCAAGGCAACGAUCAGUAGCUGGUCUGAGAGGAUGAUCAGCCACACUGGGACUGAGACACGGCCCAGACUCCUACGGGAGGCAGCAGUGGGGAAUUUUCCGCAAUGGGCGCCAGCCUGACGGAGCAAGACCGCGUGGGGGAGGAAAGCCUUUGGGUUGUAAACCCCUUUUCUCAGGGAAGAAGAAAGUGACGGUACCUGAGGAAUCAGCCUCGGCUAACUCCGUGCCAGCAGCCGCGGUAAUACGGAGGAGGCAAGCGUUAUCCGGAAUGAUUGGGCGUAAAGCGUUCGUAGGUGGCCACUCAAGUCUGCUGUCAAAGGCUGAGGCUCAACCUCAGAUCGGCAGUGGAAACUGAGUAGCUGGAGUGCGGUAGGGGCAGAGGGAAUUCCCGGUGUAGCGGUGAAAUGCGUAGAGAUCGGGAAGAACACCGGUGGCGAAAGCGCUCUGCUGGGCCGCAACUGACACUGAGGGACGAAAGCUAGGGGAGCG